AGUUUGAUCCUGGCUCAGGAUGAACGCUGGCGGCGUGCCUAACACAUGCAAGUCGAGCGAAGCACUUUGAUUGGAUUCUUCGGAUGAAGAUAAUUGUGACUGAGCGGCGGACGGGUGAGUAACGCGUGGGCAACCUGCCUUACACAGGGGGAUAACAGUUAGAAAUGACUGCUAAUACCGCAUAAGACCGCGGAACCGCAUGGUUCUGAGGUAAAAACUCCGGUGGUGUAAGAUGGGCCCGCGUCUGAUUAGGUAGUUGGUGAGGUAACGGCUCACCAAGCCGACGAUCAGUAGCCGACCUGAGAGGGUGACCGGCCACAUUGGGACUGAGACACGGCCCAGACUCCUACGGGAGGCAGCAGUGGGGAAUAUUGCACAAUGGGGGAAACCCUGAUGCAGCGACGCCGCGUGAGCGAUGAAGUAUUUCGGUAUGUAAAGCUCUAUCAGCAGGGAAGAAAAUGACGGUACCUGACUAAGAAGCCCCGGCUAACUACGUG
This 497-nucleotide ribosomal RNA is filed under the name uncultured Lachnospiraceae bacterium. Its description in RNAcentral is "bacterial SSU rRNA". It matches the Rfam family "Bacterial small subunit ribosomal RNA", at positions 10 to 507 of the family's 1533-position model. Lineage: Bacteria; Bacillati; Bacillota; Clostridia; Lachnospirales; Lachnospiraceae. The record is from RNAcentral.